GAGUCUUUAUUGCAGUACGUGUAAGAACUGACUUUCAGUCCUACGGAAAUGCACAGUGUUAGUCUAAUGUUUAAUGCAGUGCAUUACUUGAUCAGUGUCAAAU
This is a long non-coding RNA of Alosa sapidissima (American shad), 103 nucleotides long. RefSeq lists it as uncharacterized. The transcript is spliced from 3 exons. Lineage: Eukaryota; Metazoa; Chordata; Actinopteri; Clupeiformes; Clupeidae. The record is from RefSeq and is a predicted model, not a curated record.